AUUGAACGCUGGCGGCAGGCCUAACACAUGCAAGUCGAACGGUAACAGGAAGAAGCUUGCUUCUUUGCUGACGAGUGGCGGACGGGUGAGUAAUGUCUGGGAAACUGCCUGAUGGAGGGGGAUAACUACUGGAAACGGUAGCUACUACCGCAUAACGUCGCAAGACCAAAAAGGGGGACCUUCGGGCCUCUUGCCAUCGGAUGUGCCCAGAUGGGAUUAGCUAGUAGGUGGGGUAACGGCUCACCUAGGCGACGAUCCCUAGCUGGUCUGAGAGGAUGACCAGCCACACUGGAACUGAGACACGGUCCAGACUCCUACGGGAGGCAGCAGUGGGGAAUAUUGGACAAUGGGCGCAAGCCUGAUGCAGCCAUGCCGCGUGUAUGAAGAAGGCCUUCGGGUUGUAAAGUACUUUCAGCGGGGAGGAAGGGAGUAAAGUUAAUACCUUUGCUCAUUGACGUUACCAGCAGAAGAAGCACCGGCUAACUCCGUG
Molecule: ribosomal RNA, 490 nt
Filed under: uncultured bacterium
Lineage: Bacteria
Description: partial 16S ribosomal RNA
Rfam family: Bacterial small subunit ribosomal RNA
Source: RNAcentral